Molecule: ribosomal RNA, 317 nt
Filed under: uncultured Pseudomonadota bacterium
Lineage: Bacteria; Pseudomonadati; Pseudomonadota
Description: bacterial SSU rRNA
Rfam family: Bacterial small subunit ribosomal RNA
Source: RNAcentral
ACACGAGGAAACUUGUGCUAAUACCGGAUAAGUCUUUACGGAGAAAGCUUUAUGCACCAUUGGAUGAGCCUGCAUUUGAUUAGUUUGUUGGUAGGGUAAUGGCCUACCAAGACUUUGAUCAAUAGCUGAUUUGAGAGGAUGAUCAGCCACAUUGGGACUGAGACACGGCCCAAACUCCUACGGGAGGCAGCAGUGGGGAAUCUUGCACAAUGGAGGAAACUCUGAUGCAGCGAUGCCGCGUGAGUGAAGAAGGCCUUUGGGUUGUAAAGCUCUUUCGUCGGGGAAGAAAAUGACUGUACCCGAAUAAGAAGGUCCGG